GACGAACGCUGGCGGCGUGCUUAACACAUGCAAGUCGAACGGAAAGGCCCUGCUUUUGUGGGGUGCUCGAGUGGCGAACGGGUGAGUAGCACGUGAGUAACCUGCCCUUGACUUUGGGAUAACUUCAGGAAACUGGGGCUAAUACCGGAUAGGAGCUCCUGCUGCAUGGUGGGGGUUGGAAAGUUUCGGCGGUUGGGGAUGGACUCGCGGCUUAUCAGCUUGUUGGUGAGGUAGUGGCUUACCAAGGCUUUGACGGGUAGCCGGCCUGAGAGGGUGACCGGCCACAUUGGGACUGAGAUACGGCCCAGACUCCUACGGGAGGCAGCAGUGGGGAAUAUUGCACAAUGGGCGGAAGCCUGAUGCAGCAACGCCGCGUGCGGGAUGACGGCCUUCGGGUUGUAAACCGCUUUCGCCUGUGACGAAGCGUGAGUGACGGUAAUGGGUAAAGAAGCACCGGCUAACUACGUG
RNAcentral lists this ribosomal RNA (468 nucleotides) under uncultured bacterium. Its description in RNAcentral is "partial 16S ribosomal RNA". It matches the Rfam family "Bacterial small subunit ribosomal RNA", at positions 28 to 507 of the family's 1533-position model. The record is from RNAcentral.